Molecule: ribosomal RNA, 393 nt
Filed under: uncultured bacterium
Lineage: Bacteria
Description: partial 16S ribosomal RNA
Rfam family: Bacterial small subunit ribosomal RNA
Source: RNAcentral
AUACGGAGGAUGCGAGCGUUAUCCGGAUUUAUUGGGUUUAAAGGGAGCGUAGGUGGGAUAUUAAGUCAGCUGUGAAAGUUUGGGGCUCAACCUUAAAAUUGCAGUUGAUACUGGUUUCCUUGAGUACGGUAUAGGUGGGCGGAAUUCGUGGUGUAGCGGUGAAAUGCUUAGAUAUCACGAAGAACUCCGAUCGCGAAGGCAGCUCACCGGGCCGGAACUGACACUGAUGCUCGAAAGUGCGGGUAUCAAACAGGAUUAGACACCCUGGUAGUCCGCACAGUAAACGAUGAAUACUCGCUGUUUGCGAUACACUGUAAGCGGCCAAGCGAAAGCGUUAAGUAUUCCACCUGGGGAGUACGCCGGCAACGGUGAAACUCAAAUGAAUUGACGGGG